This 279-nucleotide ribosomal RNA is filed under the name uncultured bacterium. Its description in RNAcentral is "partial 16S ribosomal RNA". It matches the Rfam family "Bacterial small subunit ribosomal RNA", at positions 506 to 784 of the family's 1533-position model. The record is from RNAcentral.
UGCCAGCAGCCGCGGUAAUACGGAGGGGGCUAGCGUUGUUCGGAAUUACUGGGCGUAAAGCGCGCGUAGGCGGUUUAGCAAGUUGAAGGUGAAAGCCCGGGGCUCAACCCCGGAAGUGCAUUGGAAACUGGCGAACUUGAGUACGGGAGAGGAAAGUGGAAUUCCGAGUGUAGGGGUGAAAUCCGUAGAUAUUCGGAGGAACACCAGUGGCGAAGGCGGCUUUCUGGACCGAUACUGACGCUGAGACGCGAAAGCGUGGGGAGCAAACAGGAUUAGAUA